UUUCUUUUCUUUUGCUUAUUCCCAUCUCAUUUUUCUUUAAUAGAUGGAUGAGUUUCUCAUUACUCUUCUCAUGAUCAUUAUCUUGUCAAAUUCAUUCCGAUAGAAGAAAUGUGUCAUCAAGAAAUGAAAAACAAGCUGUUAGAUCUUUCCAUCAAAUCCUCCUAAUCUAUUGUACAAUCACUUUGCCAACAUUAACAACUCAUGUAUAAUAGCACAGAUUAUAUAGGAUAUCUCAAGUGACACAUACAACUCAGUUUAGUAAUGUAUGAUCUGAGUGCAGAUAAUGGGAGCCAAUUCAUAGCUUCAACAGUGA
Molecule: long non-coding RNA, 313 nt
Filed under: Capsicum annuum
Lineage: Eukaryota; Viridiplantae; Streptophyta; Magnoliopsida; Solanales; Solanaceae
Description: long non-coding RNA (CANN_LNC002664)
Source: RNAcentral